UGCCUGAGGCCCAUACAAGGCUCUUCCUUCCCGGCGUGUCUGGCAGGCGGCCCGCGGGCGGCUGUGGGCGGGAGUUCGGCCCUCCGGGUCCGCCCGCGCCCUGAAGCCGGCGGCCAGGGGACCCGCUGCCAAGGAGGGGGCGGCGGCGGGGCCGGGAACGAGCGGCCCGGCCUGGCUGAGGAACCAGCAGGCCCCCACAGGCCCUCGUACAGUGCCUCCAGGGACUUAAACCUGCCGCAGCCAUGUGAUUACCCUGAUCUAUCUGCUGGGAGAUGAGCAAAGCUCAGAGAGGGACCAGAUCUCAGCAGAGACGAAACCAGCAGCAGUUCCUGAACACCCACCCCGCCGUGGUUCCAGAAGUGCAACAUGGACCAACCUGUGAGCAUUUGCUCUUCCUCAGGUGAGGCAGGGAGAUAAAAGCUCAGAGCUUGGGAGUAACAAGUCAAGUAAUAUGCCAGGGAGGGGGCUUUUAGCACUAAGAAGCCUCUGGACUUGAUCCAGAGUAAAAUCACUCACAGACUUCCAGUCUUUGGUGGUAAGCACAGGCACACGCUGUGAAUAAGGCCAAAAUAGAAGAAGUCUUGUCUGUCUCUCUGGCCUCAGGGAGUGCCUGUGAUUUGGGUACAUGGAGAGGAGAUGAUCUCUAAGGCCCAUGACUGAAGGUUUAGGGGUUACAUUUCGGAAAAAAAAACUGGGUCUGGGCCUGGGCUGCACACCCAGGGACUAGGACACCUCUGGACUUGUUCCUACCUAAGGCUGCAGGCCUCCAGCGGCCUCUUCUUUCCAUUUAUGAUCUGGGAUUGUGGGUAAUGUAGUCCAGUGGCCAGUUUCUCUGGGGUGGUGGUUCUUGCCCUUCCCUCAUCUAGUCUCCUUACCCUUGCCAGCUACCACCCCCUUCUGCUCCAGGCUGAGGGCAGCACAGGGUGAGAAGGCGGUGCUUACUCUUUGCAGGGCUGGGAGAUUCCCAGCUGGAAACCAGCAAGCUAUUCAUAGCUGAACCUAGCAGAGGAGGAAGGCCUGAGAGAAGCUGGGGAGCUCCGGCAGCCUCCUCUCCAGCUACAGAAUUUGCAGGAACCCCAGACCUCUGCUGGGCAGGCCUUGUGUUCACUUCUGGGUGAGAGGGCUUCGAGCCUGGGAAAAUCCUAUGGAGCAGUAGCGGUCCUGCGUUGCUCCCUGUCUUGAGAGACACAGAUACUCCAGUGGCCCUGGGGCCCAGCUUUUAGGCCUGUGUAUGGUGGGGAUAUUUGGAACCUGAGUAUAGAUAAGCUGAGACUUUUUGCAAAAAAAGCCAGUGUGACACCCAGUAUGACAGUUGCCUAGAAAUUCUAGAAUUUCUUUGCAUUUUUCUUCUCGUUGUUUUCCUGUGCUUGCUUCUUCAACCAAAUUAAAUUCUCUCUAAGGACAGGAACCAAACCUUCUCUUGCCAAUGGCACCAACCCUGUAUUUAUGCUAUAA
This is a long non-coding RNA of Aethalodelphis obliquidens (Pacific white-sided dolphin), 1455 nucleotides long. RefSeq lists it as uncharacterized. The record is from RefSeq and is a predicted model, not a curated record. The transcript is spliced from 2 exons. NCBI's taxonomy places the organism in Eukaryota, Metazoa, Chordata, Mammalia, Artiodactyla, Delphinidae.